GACGAACGCUGGCGGCGUGCUUAACACAUGCAAGUCGAACGGAAAGGCCCUGCUUGUGUGGGGUGCUCGAGUGGCGAACGGGUGAGUAACACGUGAGUAACCUGCCCUUGACUUUGGGAUAACUUCAGGAAACUGGGGCUAAUACCGGAUAGGAGCUCCUGCUGCAUGGGGGGGGUUGGAAAGUUUCGGCGGUUGGGGAUGGACUCGCGGCUUAUCAGCUUGUUGGUGGGGUAGUGGCUUACCAAGGCUUUGACGGGUAGCCGGCCUGAGAGGGUGACCGGCCACAUUGGGACUGAGAUACGGCCCAGACUCCUACGGGAGGCAGCAGUGGGGAAUAUUGCACAAUGGGCGGAAGCCUGAUGCAGCAACGCCGCGUGCGGGAUGACGGCCUUCGGGUUGUAAACCGCUUUCGCCUGUGACGAAGCGUGAGUGACGGUAAUGAGUAAAGAAGCACCGGCUAACUACGUG
This 468-nucleotide ribosomal RNA is filed under the name uncultured bacterium. RNAcentral's name for it is "partial 16S ribosomal RNA". It matches the Rfam family "Bacterial small subunit ribosomal RNA", at positions 28 to 507 of the family's 1533-position model. The record is from RNAcentral.